RNAcentral lists this long non-coding RNA (656 nucleotides) under Bos taurus (domestic cattle). RNAcentral describes it as "long non-coding RNA NONBTAT021643". The record is from RNAcentral. Lineage: Eukaryota; Metazoa; Chordata; Mammalia; Artiodactyla; Bovidae.
GUAUCCCACAGUCUCUCUCUCCCAGUUUCAAGUGUGACCACCUCCUGGGUGGGGUGCGUUUCCUCCCUCCGUUCUUAAUAUCCUAGAGAGUCGCUAGAUUUUCCUUGUUUCCGCCCCCCCCCCCCCAAACAUAACUCUCAACACCAUUAAAUAAAUCAAGAGGAAGGAAGAGGAUCCAGGCCUUCUUGCUUUGCACCUCCUUUGCCCGUGUCCGGGAAAGAGGGGGGUGGUGGUAAUAAUUAAUAGGGUUUAUUUUGAGCCCUGUGGAGCCUGAGGGAUGGAGAAUGGACACCCCCCCACACACCCCCUUUUGGACCCGUCAGUGAUGACGGUCCUCUGGUCUCCAAGCCAGAAUUCACCAUUUUGGCUUGAGCUCUUCAUCCUCGUCAGUGUUUGAAGGGAAAACUAGGCGGAAAAAAAGUACCCUUCCAGCUGUAUCAGUGGAUACUGGUUGACCCUGGUGAGGUGCCUCAGAGGAAGAGCCCUACUCCUAAGCUCCUUCCUGUCCAGAGGAUGGACUGUGCCCUUGACCAGAAACGGAGGGGGAGGAGGGAGCAGAGAGACGAGCGACAGCUGGCAGCCCUUUCUCACCCCCUAGAAGAGCCAGAACGCCACACAUCAGGCGACAACUUAGCGGCUAGCCGAGGGGGUUCCCG